This is a non-coding RNA of Paramuricea clavata, 865 nucleotides long. The record is from the annotation of a GenBank genome assembly. NCBI's taxonomy places the organism in Eukaryota, Metazoa, Cnidaria, Anthozoa, Malacalcyonacea, Plexauridae.
AUUGUUUAUUGUAUAUUAUACUAUAUGUGGUUUUGGCAUUUCCUUACUCAAAUAAUAACCAUGUAUAAGUGUUAUGUUAGAGCACACCCAAACCGGGGGCUGAAUUAAGGGAUAUAAUAAAUGUAGUUCACUCUGCAACAUUAAUUUCUAAUUAUAUGUUCCUUCUAUUUAUCUAGGAAAGUUAAGAUGUAGACAGCUUCGUGUCAAGCAAAGACCCAAAAGAAUUGCCAUUUCUUGUAAUGGUUGUCUGGCGACCGUUGAAUGCAAUUUCUCAAAUCUUUAUUGUCGCUGACUUGCUGGUACUUUUUCGAGUUAAGGGUGGAAUUGUGGAACUGAUGGCAUGAACUCACAUUCUCUUUUCGAGAGGAGGUCAAUUAAUGAAAUUAGGAAUGACAUAUACUAAGUAAUAUGAACUGAAUAAAAUCUGAACUCAGUAGGAGAGGGCAAUUGCUCUUGUAUUGUAUAUACAGUAGGUAUCGUUUAUAACUCAUUGCAGUAUUUGCAUCAGUUUGGUUCGAAUGUUGCAUCUUUACUCUGAACGGAGUGCGUACAACCAUGCAUGCAUGUAUUGUGGGUCAAAAUCACUUUUUUGUUACUACUGUGUAUGCUAAUUUUAAUUUGUUCUAUAUAUUGGUAGAAUACAUUAUUUUCACUGACACAGUUGUGUUGAGAUGACUAUAUAGUAUCUGACUUUAUAUUAUUUCUUUCAGUCAUGGCUUUACUCGGAACAAUGAGUAAAAAGGUACUCAGCUCGCUGAGAAAAAGGAGAAUGUUUAAAGAUUUGAGUAGUUUUGUACUCGUUGUUUUGAGUAAGGCACUUCUUUUACUCACUGUGAGUAAAUAUCGCACUUUACUCACGUUUUAG